CUCAUGGAGCUGAAGUCAGUCGAAGAUACCAGCUGGCUGCAACUGUUUAUUAAAAACACAGCACUGUGCAAACACGAAAGUGGACGUAUACGGUGUGACGCCUGCCCGGUGCCGGAAGGUUAAUUGAUGGGGUCAGCGCAAGCGAAGCUCCUGAUCGAAGCCCCGGUAAACGGCGGCCGUAACUAUAACGGUCCUAAGGUAGCGAAAUUCCUUGUCGGGUAAGUUCCGACCUGCACGAAUGGCGUAAUGAUGGCCAGGCUGUCUCCACCCGAGACUCAGUGAAAUUGAACUCGCUGUGAAGAUGCAGUGUACCCGCGGCAAGACGGAAAGACCCCGUGAACCUUUACUAUAGCUUGACACUGAACAUUGAGCCUUGAUGUGUAGGAUAGGUGGGAGGCUUUGAAGUGUGGACGCCAGUCUGCAUGGAGCCGACCUUGAAAUACCACCCUUUAAUGUUUGAUGUUCUAACGUGGACCCGUGAUCCGGGUUGCGGACAGUGUCUGGUGGGUAGUUUGACUGGGGCGGUCUCCUCCUAAAGAGUAACGGAGGAGCACGAAGGUUGGCUAAUCCUGGUCGGACAUCAGGAGGUUAGUGCAAUGGCAUAAGCCAGCUUGACUGCGAGCGUGACGGCGCGAGCAGGUGCGAAAGCAGGUCAUAGUGAUCCGGUGGUUCUGAAUGGAAGGGCCAUCGCUCAACGGAUAAAAGGUACUCCGGGGAUAACAGGCUGAUACCGCCCAAGAGUUCAUAUCGACGGCGGUGUUUGGCACCUCGAUGUCGGCUCAUCACAUCCUGGGGCUGAAGUAGGUCCCAAGGGUAUGGCUGUUCGCCAUUUAAAGUGGUACGCGAGCUGGGUUUAGAACGUCGUGAGACAGUUCGGUCCCUAUCUGCCGUGGGCGCUGGAGAACUGAGGGGGGCUGCUCCUAGUACGAGAGGACCGGAGUGGACGCAUCACUGGUGUUCGGGUUGUCAUGCCAAUGGCACUGCCCGGUAGCUAAAUGCGGAAGAGAUAAGUGCUGAAAGCAUCUAAGCACGAAACUUGCCCCGAGAUGAGUUCUCCCUGAGACUUUAGGUCUCCUGAAGGAACGUUGAAGACGACGACGUUGAUAGGCCGGGUGUGUAAGCGCAGCGAUGCGUUGAGCUAACCGGUACUAAUGAACCGUGAGGCUUAACCUU
Molecule: ribosomal RNA, 1173 nt
Filed under: Salmonella enterica
Lineage: Bacteria; Pseudomonadati; Pseudomonadota; Gammaproteobacteria; Enterobacterales; Enterobacteriaceae
Also listed under: 1 other name
Description: partial 23S ribosomal RNA
Rfam family: Bacterial large subunit ribosomal RNA
Source: RNAcentral